Molecule: ribosomal RNA, 465 nt
Filed under: uncultured bacterium
Lineage: Bacteria
Description: partial 16S ribosomal RNA
Rfam family: Bacterial small subunit ribosomal RNA
Source: RNAcentral
GACGAACGAUGGCGGCGUGCUUAACACAUGCAAGUCGAACGGUAAGGCCCCUUCGGGGGUACACGAGUGGCGAACGGGUGAGUAACACGUGAGCAACCUGCCCUUGACUCUGGAAUAACAGUUGGAAACAGCUGCUAAUACUGGAUAUUCAUCGUCUCCUUCCUGGGGGGUGGUGGAAAGCUCCGGCGGUCAGGGAUGGGCUCGCGGCCUAUCAGCUUGUUGGUGAGGUAAUGGCUCACCAAGGCUUCGACGGGUAGCCGGCCUGAGAGGGCGACCGGCCACACUGGGACUGAGAUACGGCCCAGACUCCUACGGGAGGCAGCAGUGGGGAAUAUUGCACAAUGGGCGCAAGCCUGAUGCAGCAACGCCGCGUGCGGGAUGACGGCCUUCGGGUUGUAAACCGCUUUCAGUAGGGACGAAGGGUGACUGACGGUACCUACAGAAGAAGGACCGGCUAACUACGUG